GAAAUGCGAUACUUGGUGUGAAUUGCAGAAUCCCGUGAACCAUCGAGUCUUUGAACGCAAGUUGCGCCCGAAGCCAUCAGGUUGAGGGCACGUCUGCCUGGGCGUCACAUAUCGUUGCACGUCUGCCUGGGCGAAUGAUGGCUUCCCGUGAGCGUUGUUGCCUCGCGGCUGGUUGAAAAUCGAGUCCUUGGUAGGGUGUGCCAUGAUAGAUGGUGGUCGAGUUCGCACGAUACCGAUCAUGUGCAUGCUCCCCAAAAUAUGGCCUCUAUGACCCACACGUGUCUUUUGACGCUCAUGACGAGACCUCAGGUCAGGCGGGGCUACCCGCUGAAUUUAA
This 337-nucleotide unclassified non-coding RNA is filed under the name uncultured fungus. RNAcentral's name for it is "sequence contains ITS1". The stretch from base 1 to 107 matches the Rfam family "5.8S ribosomal RNA", at positions 50 to 154 of the family's 154-position model. Lineage: Eukaryota; Fungi. The record is from RNAcentral.